This 497-nucleotide ribosomal RNA is filed under the name uncultured bacterium. RNAcentral describes it as "partial 16S ribosomal RNA". It matches the Rfam family "Bacterial small subunit ribosomal RNA", at positions 28 to 507 of the family's 1533-position model. The record is from RNAcentral.
GAUGAACGCUGGCGGCGUGCCUAAUACAUGCAAGUCGAGCGAACAGAUGAGGAGCUUGCUCCUCUGACGUUAGCGGCGGACGGGUGAGUAACACGUGGAUAACCUACCUAUAAGACUGGGAUAACUUCGGGAAACCGGAGCUAAUACCGGAUAAUAUAUUGAACCGCAUGGUUCAAUAGUGAAAGACGGUUUUGCUGGCACUUAUAGAUGGAUCCGCGCCGCAUUAGCUAGUUGGUAAGGUAACGGCUUACCAAGGCAACGAUGCGUAGCCGACCUGAGAGGGUGAUCGGCCACACUGGAACUGAGACACGGUCCAGACUCCUACGGGAGGCAGCAGUAGGGAAUCUUCCGCAAUGGGCGAAAGCCUGACGGAGCAACGCCGCGUGAGUGAUGAAGGUCUUCGGAUCGUAAAACUCUGUUAUUAGGGAAGAACAAAUGUGUAAGUAACUAUGCACGUCUUGACGGUACCUAAUCAGAAAGCCACGGCUAACUACGUG